CCUACGGGAGGCAGCAGUGGGGAAUAUUGCGCAAUGGGCGAAAGCCUGACGCAGCAACGCCGCGUGAGGGAUGACGGCCUUCGGGUUGUAAACCUCUUUCAGCAGGGAAGAAGCGAAAGUGACGGUACCUGCAGAAGAAGCACCGGCUAACUACGUGCCAGCAGCCGCGGUAAUACGUAGGGUGCAAGCGUUGUCCGGAUUUAUUGGGCGUAAAGAGCUCGUAGGCGGUUAGUCACGUCGGAUGUGAAAUCCCGGAGCUUAACUCCGGGCCUGCAUUCGAUACGGGCUGACUCGAGUAUUGUAGGGGAGACUGGAACUCCUGGUGUAGCGGUGAAAUGCGCAGAUAUCAGGAAGAACACCGGUGGCGAAGGCGGGUCUCUGGGCAAUUACUGACGCUGAGGAGCGAAAGCGUGGGGAGCAAACAGGAUUAGAUACCCUGGUAGUCCACGCCGUAAACGGUGGGCGCUAGGUGUGGGGACCCUUCCACGGUCUCCGUGCCGCAGCUAACGCAUUAAGCGCCCCGCCUGGGGAGUACGGCCGCAAGGCUAAAACUCAAAUGAAUUGACGG
This 568-nucleotide ribosomal RNA is filed under the name uncultured bacterium. RNAcentral describes it as "bacterial SSU rRNA". It matches the Rfam family "Bacterial small subunit ribosomal RNA", at positions 338 to 916 of the family's 1533-position model. The record is from RNAcentral.